CGCAAGCUUCAGAGACUAAGCGAAAGUGAUAAGUUAGCCACCUGGGGAGUACGAACGCAAGUUUGAAACUCAAAGGAAUUGACGGGGGCCCGCACAAGCGGUGGAUUAUGUGGUUUAAUUCGAUGAUACGCGAGGAACCUUACCAAGGCUUAAAUGGGAAAUGACAGGUUUAGAAAUAGACUUUUCUUCGGACAUUUUUCAAGGUGCUGCAUGGUUGUCGUCAGCUCGUGCCGUGAGGUGUUAGGUUAAGUCCUGCAACGAGCGCAACCCCUGUCACUAGUUGCCAUCAUUAAGUUGGGGACUCUAGUGAGACUGCCUACGCAAGUAGAGAGGAAGGUGGGGAUGACGUCAAAUCAUCACGGCCCUUACGCCUUGGGCCACACACGUAAUACAAUGGCCGGUACAGAGGGCAGCUACACUGCGAAGUGAUGCAAAUCUCGAAAGCCGGUCUCAGUUCGGAUUGGAGUCUGCAACUCGACUCUAUGAAGCUGGAAUCGCUAGUAAUCGCGCAUCAGCCAUGGCGCGGUGAAUACGUUCCCGGGCCUUGUACACACCGCCCGUCAAGCCAUGGAAGUCUGGGGUACCUGAAGUCGGUGACCGUAACAGGAGCUGCCUAGGGUAAAACAGGUAACUAGGGCUA
RNAcentral lists this ribosomal RNA (640 nucleotides) under Chryseobacterium indologenes. Its description in RNAcentral is "bacterial SSU rRNA". It matches the Rfam family "Bacterial small subunit ribosomal RNA", at positions 832 to 1483 of the family's 1533-position model. The record is from RNAcentral. Lineage: Bacteria; Pseudomonadati; Bacteroidota; Flavobacteriia; Flavobacteriales; Weeksellaceae.